Molecule: ribosomal RNA, 255 nt
Filed under: uncultured bacterium
Lineage: Bacteria
Description: partial 16S ribosomal RNA
Rfam family: Bacterial small subunit ribosomal RNA
Source: RNAcentral
UACGUAGGGUGCGAGCGUUGUCCGGAAUUACUGGGCGUAAAGAGCUCGUAGGUGGUUUGUCGCGUUGUUCGUGAAAACUCACAGCUCAACUGUGGGCGUGCGGGCGAUACGGGGCAGACUGGAGUACUGCAGGGGAGACUGGAAUUCCUGGUGUAGCGGUGGAAUGCGCAGAUAUCAGGAGGAACACCGGUGGCGAAGGCGGGUCUCUGGGCAGUAACUGACGCUGAGGAGCGAAAGCCAGGGGAGCGAAACGGG